GGGCGGGGCCCGCCGCUCGGCCGCCGCCCCAUUGGUCGCAGCUCCGCCAGCCCCUCGCUUCGGGCCCGCAGCCGGGCGCCCCGGGCCGAGGGCGCGGGCGGCUGAGGACUGCGGGGCUCCGACCGCCAGACAGGCGGACAGACCCAUAGACCUAGAUGCUGCCCUGCCGGCCGCGCGCCCCCGCCCAGGCCCAAGUGCAGAGUCACCCCGGAGCGGCAGGCGCUGUCCGGGUGGGACCAGGAGCGCGCCCCGCGCCUCCCACCUGCGCGCCCUCCUGGGCCGGAAGCGCCGUGGCCCUGCGGGAAAAAGAUGACCUCCCCCGCGGCCCCGGCGGCUGGGGCAACCGCCUUUCUAAAGUCGCGGCCCAAGCGACACUUUGCUAAUUUGCCUGGAUUUCCUCAGGAAAUCGCGAGGCCCAAACUUGUUUUAAAACAAAGUGCGAAGGAGAGUACAUAUAGCUCCAGUUCCUGCCAAUGUUUGCCAUCGGUCCCGCUGCCUGAAGACUCAGGCACAGUGCAGAACAAGAUGCUUUGUCUUAUUCCUCCACUCACCGAGUCAGAAGAGGUGCUUGGACAUUUGCACCAAGCAGAUGCGCCUCAUAUGUAGAAGAGGAACCAGUCGGGUCCCCUUUCGGAAGGACGAAUGGAAGAGGAAGUCAGGGGACGAUGCCUUCAGCCGACGUUGAGGAACAAACCAGGACCUCGGCGAGGACAGCGUGUGGUCCAGAAGGCAUCGCUGGCCUCGCUGCACUGAGCGAGAGCGCUCAGUUAACAGCCAGGAGGAGAAAUGGGACGCUUCGGGACCCACCCCCGCGCUCCCCCUCCCGCCCCCAAACUGCAGAUUUUUAAGUUGUGCAGACGUGGAACAAUUCCUCGGAGCCAGCUGCUCCAAGCUAAGGCGCCCAGUGUUCCCUGGGUUCCUACCCGCAGCAUACGCCCUGCCAGCUGCCCCCAAGCCAGCACCCGCUGACCACUCACCUCAGGCAAGCACCUAGGAAGACGAUGCAGAUUCAAGCUCCAGACCUUGAGCCAAGCGCUGGGGAGGGAAUGGGGGCAAAGAGAUGGUGGAAAACACUUUCCUGAACUUACUGAAUACCCUAUGUUAUGUGUGGGUUUUCUAAUUGUUCUUUGCUUAAUGAAAAACCCACGUUGGAAAUCAGAAAAAGGCAGUAAUCCUCACCGUAUCUUGUGGGCUUCAAAGAGGAGGUUUUCCCCUUAAAGGGAGUUUUGGUCCAGAGGAGAGGCUAACAGCAGGCAGGAAGGGCAGAGGAAAAGAUAAAGCCUAGGGUGGUCUUCCCCCUGAGGCCUGGAGCCCACCAAGCUCCAACAGUUUCAUUUGGCUUCUGGGAAGCAAAGUACAGAUGCAUGUGUCUGCAGAGCACUGUUCUGAGCCAUUUGUCCCUAAUUCCAUGGUUCUUUGGUUCCUCCAAUCUUGUCUCCUCUCCUGUGGAAGAGGAUCCAAAGCAUUGGUCCACACUGCUAUUUACAAGUGGCUGAAGAAGGUAACUUUCUUACAUAGUUCAUCUUUAGCAUAAGCUCUAAGAUUGUUCUAAAAAUAUAUUUACAUUUUAUCAACACCUUAGAAGAAUGCUUCCAGAUCUCUCCCAGCAGUUACCUAUUUAAUCAUUUUAAAAUCACUAAGUUUAUCCAAAAAGUCCAGCAUGGUUUACUUGAGAAGGAAAUAUGUUCAGAAUCUCUAAGCACUGCAGAAGGCACCUGCAGUGCAGAAGAGUUGGCAGUGAGGUCUUUCUCCUGGGGUCUGGGCGGAACAUGUGAGCAGUCGGGAAGGCACACACAGUGGGAGCCAGUAAGGGCCCCUGUGCAUCUGCAGGAGCUGAGGACAGAAGGGGUGGGCCUCCACGGUGGGCAUGUAGGAGUGGGCACAGAGAAGGGCCACAGAUCUGAGACAGAGACAGACAGGACUUCUUACCCUGCUGAGCCCUGCAGGGAGCCACUUCGUCUUUCAGCCCUGAUUUUGUCAUCUGUAAGGAAAUUUCCUCUCUCCCAGGGUAAUCAUGUGAAGCCAAUGAAAUAAUAAAAAGGACCACAUCGGAUGACCCCUGAGGCAGGUCUGCUCCCCAAAAGUUUACUCUUGAAUGUUGACCAAGGUUGAGCUAGGCAAAGUGGUAAAUUCACACACACGGUAUGUAGCCCCUUCCCCAACCCCAGUCUCCAUUACCGGGGGCAUGCUGUGAACUAACUGCCUCCUUUUCCCCACACACCCACUUCCUGCCCAGUCUUUAUGCCUCCCGAUAUGACAUCCCGUUCCCUCUUAAUUAACUGUGCCUAUAGAGAAACAUCUAGAUAAACCAUGCAUUUAAUCUGUGAGGGGUCAAUCAUUUAAUCAUCGUUGACAAUAAUGCUCACUCCUCUGUGGUUUCAGAGGACUCCUGGAGUGGAUGGAGACACAUGCCACUAAUGUGGGAUGCAUUUCAGUCUGUCUUCCAGGCCUCGUUUGGAGGUCUCCCUCUCUUACCCACCUAUCACACAUCCAUGUCUUCCCUUCCCUCCCCAGAGCCAAACCUGUCCCCGACUUUUUAUUCUCACUAAAGUUCAAAUGACAGAAAUCAGCUAGAUUAGUACUUGCCUUAGUCCUGAAGGAAAGGGAAGUGCUCAUUAGCUUCUUAAAUUGGAACAGGUCUGCAGGUGAAAAUGAAGAUGUGCUCAUCUCUGGCAGGAAGGUUGGGAGUGAGGGGUAUAGUCAUAAUGAGCAGCGUUUAUUUGGUGUGUGCCUCUCACUUGCCACUUUCUACCCAGCUGCCUGAAUAUCACUCCAGUUAGUCUGAGCACAUGAAACACCUGCAACUCCCCAGACCCACCAUGCUUUUUCUUGACUCUCUGAAUGCACAGCAGUGCCUCCUCAGCUAAGAACACAGUUCCCCAUCACCAAGCUUUGCUUUGCCCAACAGACCCCUUCUCCCUUAGGAUGAGAUUCAGUGGAUAAUCACAUCAUAAUCACGACCCUCUGGGAAGCCGCCUCUCUCAUCCUGGGUUGUGUGUUGUGUGUUUCCUUUCCACACUCCCUCAGCAGCCUUUGCCUCCCACUUUCAUAGAAUCUACCAUAUGGGAUUUUAACUGUUUGUCUUCCACUAGACAAUAAGCUCCUUGAAGACUGAAUUUCCAGGAACUUCUGUUGGAUCUGCAUGUUUGUGAAGUGAAUUACUGAAGGCUGCCCAGUUUCAUCUGAUCCUAGUCAAAACCUAAAUCCCUUAUUUCUACGCUACCUUUUGCCAGCACCUGAAAAUGAUGCCAGGUUUCUGGAAUCCACGGCAGCAAUGGGUGAUAAGUCUCCAGCAUCUGGGUGACAGCAGACUGACUCUGCUCUCAAGUCUCAUUAAUCCACAUUGUAAGUCACACUAUGUCCCUUUGGCUCCAUUUUCUUACCUGUAAAAUGGGGAUUUUGAACUUACUAAUAUGCCAGACACAAAGCUAAAGAAAGGAGCUGAAGAGACAGGAUAAAAAAGACGAAUAAUAGGUUCCUCCCUGUAAGAGCUCACAAUUCAGUGGGCUGACAUCAUCGGCCUUAUCCACCAGAUAGAGUGUUAGAAUAACAGGAUAGCAGGAUAGAGAGUUGAGAGAUAAAAGCACCAUAUAAUGUGACAGGAACUGCCACUUGUCACUCAAUUUCCAUUCUGCCCUGCUAUCUUAGUAACAGAACUCCUGUUUUUAUGGGGCAGACAUGUCCCCAACUAAACACAUUAUAUUUCCCAGCCUCUCUUGCAACUAGUGUAGAGAAACCAACUUUUAGAACCAGAUGUAAGCCUAUACAUUCUCUUAUGUUUCCAGGGAGUCUUUUUAAAAAGGGGAGCCAUGCCCUUUUCCCUUUUGUCUUCCAACCUCCUCCCUAGAAUGUGGAUGAGGUGACUGGAGUUCUUGCAGCCAUUUGGGGCCAUGAGAACAAUGGGUACACCUUAGGGAUGGCAAAGAGUGAGCUAAUUGGAAUAUGGGGCCCUCACCUCUUUGCAGGGCUAUUUUAUCCAUGUUGUAUACUGCAAAUCACUGUACUUCUCUCACCUGAGAAACAAACAGCUAACUUGUGUAUAGAUGUGUGUGUAUGUGUGUAUUAAUGCAACUGAUUCCACUCUCAACUGAUGAACGAAAAUAUUUAAUAUUAAUAAGUAUUACACAUAAUCCCUACUUUAUUUAGCUCCUAAAGAUCUCAUGAGAUUUAUUUUAAAACUAACAUGCUUCAAGAAUUUUUUUAACUUCUGGAAUAUCAAGUGAUAUGGUGGUGCUGAGCAAUGCAGGUAUUUUCACAACUAUCUUUAGGAGAUUCAAAUCAAUGCUUGGGCUCAGGUCACUUUAUGACUGAGAAGUCUGGAAAAUUGUAUUUUCUUUUGAAGUAGCAGGUGAACUUGUAGGACAAUAAAUCAGCUAGACAUGACUUGAGCCCUCAUGUACCCUCAUUCACAAGCAUAUGCACACGCUUACCUGCAUGGAUGGACAUGUACUUUCAGGAAGCCACACUAUGCAUCACACGCAUGCAUAGCCACACACAGGUACACUUUCACAUCCAUACUCAAUAGCAGGCUCCAGUGGAUUUCCUGCAAUUUUGAAGGCCCUGGAUUUUCCCUUCACCAGAACACUACGUUAUUAUGAGUUAUUAUUUUCAAGGACUUGGUUAUACAAGGCUGGAAGUGGUGUGAUGAGUCAUAAAGAGCAAGAGCAAGAAAGCUUAGUAGUCAGUCCUUGAUGGUGAAGGUGGAUUCAUGGAAAAGCAGAGAAAGGCAGAUUCCCUACUACACAUAAGUUCCAGGGUCAGAAGGAGAAUCCUGAUGAGCCAGGGGCAGUCUGAACAUCCAGAGGCCUCACCUUCAUGGAGGAUACUGCAUGAGAGUGUGAGUUAAGCUCCUCCCUGAGCUCCUGUCCUCCCCGCUCCAGGCCUGCUCCUCUAGACAAGCAAUUUUCAAUUGAUUCGAUCACUGCUUGUAUAUUUUGCUAUCUCUUUGAGCUCAGCCUCUAGCUCUGAUCCCAGUCCUUUGAGAACCUCCUCAGUGCUGUACACUAUGCUCAGGAUUUAAGAAAACACAAAGAUGAAGAAGACACAGUCUCUGCUCUCAAGAAGUGACAUUCUAUCAAAUAAUUGAGAAAUAAAUAUUGAUAGCCAACUCCAUAAAAAUAGAUAGAUAAUUACAGGAGUUGAUACAAAUCGUAGAACCUUGGCAAAUUCUCAGUUGUCUCAUCUGCAACUGAAGAAUAAUAACUUCUGCCAUCAGCAACUUGUGAGCUUAGAGAAACUACCCUCAUAAAUUAUUUAGGGAUUCCCUCUGCUACUCAACAAACCUUUUACUCAACUCUAGUUUAUUCAACAUUUCCCAGAAAACCCCAUCCAAGUCUUCCCCACUCUAAACCCUGGAAAUCUUCAUACCAAUUCAAUCCCCAGGUCUCAUUCACAGCAGAGAAUUUGUCUACCUACUUACUAAGAAAAAAGGCCAGAAGCAGUGGCUCACGCCUGUAAUCCCAGCACUUUGGGAGGCUGAGGUGGGCAGAUCAUGAGGUCAGGAGUUUGAGACCAGCCUGGCCAAUAUGGUGAAACCCUAUCUCUACUAAAACUACAAAAAUUAGCCAGGCAUGGUGGCACAUGCCUGUAGUCCCAGCUACUCGGGAGGCUGAGGCAGAAGAAUCACUUGAACCCAGGAGGCAGAGGUUGCAGUGAGCCAAGAUAACACCACUGCACUCCAGCCUGGGUGACAGAGAGGGACUCGAUCUCAAAAAAAAAAAAAAAAAAAAAGAAAGAAAGAAAGAAAGAAAAUAGAGGCCACAGGAGUUAUGGCCGCUCAGUUUCCAUCUUGUCUAUCUUGAAGUCUCCCUUUAUCUCCUGCCUUGAAGAAAGAUGCUUAUAUCCAAGUACUUUGGAGAGUCAAAACAAUAAUGACCAAGAAAUCCAAGACCAUAAAAAAAUAGAGUUUUAGGCCGGGCGCGGUGGCUCACGCCUGUAAUCCCAGCACUUUGGGAGGCUGAGGCAGGCGGAUCACGAGGUCAGGAGAUCGAGAUCAUCCUGGCUAACACGGUGAAACCCCGUCUCUGCUAAAAAUACAAAAAAUUAACCGGGCUUGGUGGCCGGCGCCUGUAGUCCCAGCUACUCCAGAGGCUGAGGCAGGAGAAUGGCGUGAACCCGGGAGGCAGAGCUUGCAGUGAGCCGAGAUCGCGC
Molecule: long non-coding RNA, 6150 nt
Filed under: Homo sapiens (human)
Lineage: Eukaryota; Metazoa; Chordata; Mammalia; Primates; Hominidae
Description: HSALNT0028138
Source: RNAcentral